RNAcentral lists this ribosomal RNA (250 nucleotides) under uncultured bacterium. Its description in RNAcentral is "partial 16S ribosomal RNA". It matches the Rfam family "Bacterial small subunit ribosomal RNA", at positions 524 to 773 of the family's 1533-position model. The record is from RNAcentral.
UACGGAGGGUGCAAGCGUUGUUCGGAAUUACUGGGCGUAAAGCGCGUCUAGGCGGGUAAACAAGUCAGUUGUGAAAGCCCUUGGCUCAACCAAGGAUGUGCAAUUGAUACUGUUUGUCUUGAGUGGUGGAGAGAGGAACGGAAUUCCGAGUGUAGCAGUGAAAUGCGUAGAUAUUCGGAGGAACACCAGAGGCGAAAGCGGUUCCUUGGCCACUAACUGACGCUGAAGCGCGAAAGCGUGGGUAGCAAAC